CAUUAUUACAAUGAAGGGAAGAAAGGAAGACAUGAAGGGGAAAUGGGACUAUUUACCAAGUGUAUCUGCAUAGACUAAAGGAGACAAGAGGAAGUACUGAGCACCUUGAUUCCUGCAGAAAAUUAAUUAUUUGAGAAGCAUAAGAAUUCUUCCCUAGCUUCUUAUAAGCCUGCUUAUUCAAAGGAUUCAAACAUUUUAACCACAAAGAACAAAACAACCUCAACUGAGAGCAGGCUUGAUUUAGGUUAACUGCAGUGAAUGAAACUAUUGGAUUAUAAUUCCAUGAAGAUAAGAAAAAGCUCCAGAUGGUUUUCAUCCUAUCACCAGGACCUGCACAGUGUGAGUGCCUGGUGCAUAACAAACUUUAUUAUUUAUCUCUUCUCUCUUUCUUCCCCCAACCAUGUGUAUACAUACA
Molecule: non-coding RNA, 415 nt
Organism: Macaca mulatta (Rhesus monkey)
Lineage: Eukaryota; Metazoa; Chordata; Mammalia; Primates; Cercopithecidae
Source: RefSeq, a predicted model, not a curated record